Molecule: transfer RNA, 62 nt
Filed under: Nesophrosyne montium
Lineage: Eukaryota; Metazoa; Arthropoda; Insecta; Hemiptera; Cicadellidae
Description: tRNA-Ala
Source: RNAcentral
AGGGUUAUAUUUAAUUAUAAUAUUUGAAUUGCAAUCAAAAGGUGUCCAAAAGAUUAAUCUUU